Salvelinus fontinalis (brook trout) is the source of this 3335-nucleotide long non-coding RNA. RefSeq lists it as uncharacterized. The record is from RefSeq and is a predicted model, not a curated record. NCBI's taxonomy places the organism in Eukaryota, Metazoa, Chordata, Actinopteri, Salmoniformes, Salmonidae. The transcript has 3 exons.
CUCCCAAAUCAUUACCAAAACUUCCGAAAUACUCACACACUUCAACUCCCAUGAAUCUGUCUAGUUUUCAGAUUCUCUCGCUGAUUGGACAUUCAACAACGCACGUAAUGAGUGUAUCGCCUGGUUGGUCUCUGGUUGGUCUAACCGAAUGGGCCUCCUACUCUGAAACUAGUUAGCUGAGGCAGAGGGGCAUGGCGAGAGGGUUGACUCAAAAUCUGUCAGCGCGAAACAAGCAUGGCUGAGGCACAUGUGUGUUGGCUGAGGUGAAUGUGUUUAGCUUGCUUGCUAGCUUGUUAGCCCUUGUAACGUUAGCAAUAAUGUGGCGGCACAUUGCUGCUGUUUAAAGGCCAGCCGUAGUAUCAACAUCAACCAAAGACAAAGACAAUUAAAUAGAAGCAAAGUGUAUGAUGCCAAAGAAGAGCAAUUGUACUGUUCGCGCUGCCGUCUACUCAUCUGUCAAGUGUCAGACCAAUUCAUUUAUGAUGGGUACCAAAAACCUGAAGCUUGAAGCCAUUCAGACCACUAGUCAUCGAAGUGCCACCUACGAUGUCAUGCAACAGAACGGGCCAAGACUAGUCACCGAGAGGAGAACGUCGCAAUGAAAGCCAUCUCAUCCUUGCAAUCGUCCCAGUUUGAAAGGAUGAACAUCCUGUUCAGAAAUGUCCAUGCGAUCGGGAAAAAGGGAAGCCCAUUCCCCAACUAUGUUUGGAUGUGCGAGGAAGAAAUGACAUGUUGUGUAACUCUUUCAAGGCCAAUAAAGCAUGUCUAAAUUGUAUUAGCUUCUGGCUAGAUUUGACUGUACUUGUUACCAGUGAGUUCUGUCUAGCUAGGCUACCUAGUUAUAGUGUAGCUCAGUGAUGUUAUAGCUAGCUAGCUAAACAGAUUAAUAAAAUAUGAAAGCUAGCUAGGGUCUGUCGGUAGCAAACACAGAAACCACAAAGAGGCCAGAGUGUUCAUGUUCUACAUAGCUGAGGUGGCUAGAAGACUGUUCAAAGCGAACAUUUCUAUUGCAAAGUACCUGGCAAUCAUGUCAGAUGGGUCUACAGAGAGUGCAGGAUGGAGGAAGAGCUGGUGUGUCUGAGACUGUGCCAGGAAGGAAAAGUUAAGGUCCAGUUCAUGGGAAUUCAGGCAAUUGAGAAGGCAGAUGCAGAGACCAUCACUGAGGCAGUACAUAGCAUGAUGAGGGCAGUAUGUGGAGCAAGCAGUCAAGACGAGAACAACAGCACAGCACAAGCGGUUGAUUUGCAGGAGAAGCUUGUUGCUGUUGCAACUGAUGGAGCAUCCAUGAUGACGGGGUCCAAAACAGAGUUAGUGAGCAGGCUGCAUGGCAACAAGUUCUACAUGCUAGGCAUCCACUGCAUGGCCCAUUGCCUUGAGCUAGCAUUCAAAUAUACAGUCAUGGCCUCUAUGUGUUCUAUCACAAGAGACCUUUGAACAGGCCCAACCUCAAAAACAGCUUCACGGUGUUGGGACUGAGGCCGCUCAUCCCAACAGGAGGGUAGGUCUCUCAACUUCUGAGGCCCGAGAACAUUUACUUACAAGGUACAGGGGACUUCACCUAGAGCAGGUAAUAGGUAGUGUAGGUUAGUUUGUUUGAGUUAAAUUCUGUUUAUUAAAAUAUAUCAUUUAACCUGAAAAAUAUGAAAUGUCAUAGUAAUUAUUUGUUUGUAUAUUUGUUUGUUUGUUUAAGUUUCAGUCAACAGAUGCUAAGGGGGAUAAUCCGGUGCAGCAGAGUAAGAGAACCUCAGUGACAGUGGCUGAGGUCCACAGCUGCCUGACCACCACCCAGGCAUUGUUGAACAAACACAAAAGCAGACCUGGUCCCAAGCUGAAUGCUUGUCUGGCCAACACAGAUACCUAUGAGGGUGUAAGUCUGACACCCAGAGAUGACAUUACCCUGGUUCGUGUGACAUCAUCAAUGUGCAAACUCAUUGACCAGCAGUGCCAAAGGAUGGACAAGAGAUUUGGUGAUAUCAGCUCUGAGAUCCUACAUGCCACAAAACUGGUGAAUCUGCAAAAUGGACCUGUUGCAGAAAAGCAUCUUACAAUAACACUCCUGAUCUUACUAACAACCCACACUUGCUAACAACCCGUGAAAGCAUAUAACUAAAUAUUAUUUUAGUUAUUGUAUGUCUUUUCAGAUUUUGGAGAUUCAGAGGUUGGCGAUCUAACAAGGCACUUUGAGCCAGUGCUGAUGUGGAUCUGAUCCCAGACCAGUAAACCAUCCUGAAUGCCAGGCUCUACCAGGACCCAAAGAGCGGCGUGGAGUAGAUAUCCUGGCCCAAGGUCCACAGGAUCCUCAAACACCCGUGCCCUGACCUUCUUCAGCUGGUAGAUCUCGUCCUGACACUGCCAGCCUCCACCUCAUGAAGAAAGUGAAAAGCAACUGGAGGUCAGGCCUGAAACCUGACCCACUGUCAGAUCUGCUGACUGUUCAGCUGUCAACUCCUUCCAUAGAAGAUUUUGACCCCACCCCAGCCAUUCAGCUGUGGCAUGAAGCCAGCAUUUGGUCCAGAAGUCCAGACUUUAUGGAGCAGAGAGUCACAAGAGAGAGAGGAGCAAGGAAGACGGAGGACGAGGAGGAAGAUUAGUCUGAAGAGGAGAGCUAGCCUAGACCAAUUUCAGUCAAGUGUGUGUUUGUGUGUGUGCCAUAUGUAAUGGGAAGUGAGACUUGAGACUUUAAGAUGUGUUAGCUACCCAAUCAAAUUUACUCAAUAGGAUCACACGGUCUUGUGGCACACAGGAGACCCAGGUUGGAACCCAGACAGUCACACAUAUCCCACCCAAAGUUUUCAUAAAUGACCUGUUUAUUCUGUAGAAACUUGCUACAACUCACCAUGUGGAUUCUGACCCACUAUGUGGGAAACUCUACUGUAGUUAAACUGACACACUGUAGUUGUCAAUCUAAUUGAGAGAUGCAUUAAAAGCGCAUUAAGUGGCCAGCGAAGGGAAUUUACUAGCGUACAUGUUUACCAUAUCCCCGUGAAGGCACUCAGACAUGACAUUUUCACACUUUUUAUUUCUCGAGUGUGAUCUGCUUAUAGGCAACUCAUGCUGUUCUGUUAUUGUACAUUUAAUCUGUUCUAUGAUUGUAUUUUACAUUUCAUCUUUUUUAUUAUUAUAUUUGUCAUUUUACCAGGUAGCCUAGCGAUUAAGAGCAUUGGGCCAGUAGCCGAAAGGUUGCUGGUUCGAAUCCCCGAGCUGACUAGAGGAAAAAUCUGUCGAUGUGUCCUUGAGCAAAGCACUUAACCAUAAUUUCUCCUGUAAACUGCUCUGGAUAAGCGCUUCUGAUAAAUGACUCAAAUGUACCACAACUGUGUGUCUGUAUGUCAUGU